This is a non-coding RNA of Spodoptera litura, 337 nucleotides long. The record is from RefSeq and is a predicted model, not a curated record. NCBI's taxonomy places the organism in Eukaryota, Metazoa, Arthropoda, Insecta, Lepidoptera, Noctuidae.
CAACCCGAAUGCGCUGCAACAUGUAUUAGAUGCACUUAAACAGGAUGCCAGGUACACAGCCCUGGACCACAUCCCGGAGGAGAGGCAGGCGAUCCUGACGAGCUACCUCGAGGAACUAGAGAAGAAAGGACCCCCACCGCCUCCCACCGCCACGGAACCCAGCCGGAGAGCGAAGCAAUGAUACAGAAGCUGUGAAACCAAAAGAAGACUCAAAGGAUACAGCAAUAAGAAGAGAAAACAACAAAAAUUGUAUAUUUUGAGUUAGUCGACAUGAUUCCCUAGAUACAUUAUAUGUAUUGUAAUUUUUAAAUGAAAUAAAAUAAAAAAUGUGAUUAUA